GAUGAACGCUGGCGGCGUGCCUAAUACAUGCAAGUCGAGCGAACUUUUGGGAGCUUGCUCCCAAUAGUUAUCGGCGGACGGGUGAGUAACACGUGGGGAACCCCCCUCUAAGAGUCGGAGAACAUCUGGAAACCGCAGCGAAUACAGGAGAACAUUUAAGACCACAUGUCCUUCAAUUAAAAAGUAGCGUUUAGCUACCACUUACAGAUGGACCCGCGCCGCAUUAGCUAGUUGGUAAGGUAACGGCUUACCAAGGCAACGAUGCGUAGCCGACCUGAGAGGGUGAUCGGCCAAACUGGAACUGAGACACGGCCCAGACUCCUAGGGGAGGCAGCAGUAGGGAAUCUUCCGCAAUGGGCGAAAGCCAGACGGAGCAACGCCGCGGGGGGGAGGAAGGUCUUCGGAUCGUAAACCUCUGUUUUUAGGAAGAAAAAGUAUCGUUAGAAUAGAGCGGCACCUUGACGGUACCUAAUCAGAAAGCCACGGCUAACUACGUG
RNAcentral lists this ribosomal RNA (497 nucleotides) under uncultured bacterium. RNAcentral describes it as "partial 16S ribosomal RNA". It matches the Rfam family "Bacterial small subunit ribosomal RNA", at positions 28 to 507 of the family's 1533-position model. The record is from RNAcentral.